RNAcentral lists this ribosomal RNA (490 nucleotides) under uncultured bacterium. Its description in RNAcentral is "partial 16S ribosomal RNA". It matches the Rfam family "Bacterial small subunit ribosomal RNA", at positions 29 to 507 of the family's 1533-position model. The record is from RNAcentral.
AGUGAACGCUGGCGGCAGGCCUAAUACAUGCAAGUCGAACGGCAGCACAGUGGAGCUUGCUCCAUGGGUGGCGAGUGGCGGACGGGUGAGGAAUACAUGGGAAUCUGCCCAGUCGUGGGGGAUAACGUAGGGAAACUUACGCUAAUACCGCAUGCGCCCUUCGGGGGAAAGCCGGGGACCUUCGGGCCUGGCGCGAUUGGAUGAGCCCAUGUUCGAUUAGCUAGUUGGCGGGGUAAAGGCCCACCAAGGCGACGAUCGAUAGCUGGUCUGAGAGGAUGAUCAGCCACACUGGGACUGAGACACGGCCCAGACUCCUACGGGAGGUAGCAGUAGGGAAUAUUGGACAAUGGGCGCAAGCCUGAUCCAGCCAUGCCGCGUGAGUGAAGAAGGCCCUCGGGUUGUAAAGCUCUUUUGUCCGGGAAGAAAGGCAUCGGGCUAAUACCUCGGUGUUCUGACGGUACCGGAAGAAUAAGCACCGGCUAACUUCGUG